Molecule: unclassified non-coding RNA, 337 nt
Filed under: soil metagenome
Description: partial contains 5.8S ribosomal RNA, internal transcribed spacer 2, and large subunit ribosomal RNA
Rfam family: 5.8S ribosomal RNA (bases 1-120)
Source: RNAcentral
GAUGAAGAACGUAGCGAAAUGCGAUAAGUAGUGUGAAUUGCAGAAUUCAGUGAAUCAUCGAAUCUUUGAACGCACAUUGCGCCCCUUGGUAUUCCAUGGGGCAUGCCUGUUCGAGCGUCAUUUGUACCUUCAAGCUCUGCUUGGUGUUGGGUGUUUGUCUCGCCUCUGCGUGUAGACUCGCCUCAAAACAAUUGGCAGCCGGCGUAUUGACUUCGGAGCGCAGUACAUCUCGCGCUUUGCACUCAUAACGACGACGUCCAAAAGUACAUUUUUACACUCUUGACCUCGGAUCAGGUAGGGAUACCCGCUGAACUUAAGCAUAUCAAUAAGCGGAGGA